Molecule: long non-coding RNA, 277 nt
Filed under: Nicotiana benthamiana
Lineage: Eukaryota; Viridiplantae; Streptophyta; Magnoliopsida; Solanales; Solanaceae
Description: long non-coding RNA (NBEN_LNC024261)
Source: RNAcentral
UUGAUGCACCUAACUUGGUCAAGAUCACGCGCCUUCCUUUCCCUUGCUUUAGCUAACCGGAAUAACUUCAUGUCCCCGCCUUUCUCCCCUAGUUCCUCGUACAUGCGACCAAACACCGCGUUUUUAGCUUCCGUAACCGCCAGCUUUGCUUCUUUCUUCACCACCUUGUAGAUCUUCCUGUUCGCUCUCCGUUCUUCCUCGCUUGUGCUCACUGCCAACUUAGCAAACGCCGCCUUCUUCACCUCCACCUUCCAUUCGACUACAUCGUUCCACCACC